This 465-nucleotide ribosomal RNA is filed under the name uncultured Klebsiella sp. RNAcentral describes it as "bacterial SSU rRNA". It matches the Rfam family "Bacterial small subunit ribosomal RNA", at positions 338 to 795 of the family's 1533-position model. Lineage: Bacteria; Pseudomonadati; Pseudomonadota; Gammaproteobacteria; Enterobacterales; Enterobacteriaceae. The record is from RNAcentral.
CCUACGGGGGGCAGCAGUGGGGAAUAUUGCACGAUGGGCGCAAGCCUGAUGCAGCCAUGCCGCGUGUGUGAAGAAGGCCUUCGGGUUGUAAAGCACUUUCAGCGGGGAGGUAGGCGGUGAGGUUAAUAACCUCAUCGAUUGACGUUACCCGCAGAAGAAGCACCGGCUAACUCCGUGCCAGCAGCCGCGGUAAUACGGAGGGUGCAAGCGUUAAUCGGAAUUACUGGGCGUAAAGCGCACGCAGGCGGUCUGUCAAGUCGGAUGUGAAAUCCCCGGGCUCAACCUGGGAACUGCAUUCGAAACUGGCAGGCUAGAGUCUUGUAGAGGGGGGUAGAAUUCCAGGUGUAGCGGUGAAAUGCGUAGAGAUCUGGAGGAAUACCGGUGGCGAAGGCGGCCCCCUGGACAAAGACUGACGCUCAGGUGCGAAAGCGUGGGGAGCAAACAGGAUUAGAUACCCCGGUAGUC